Molecule: transfer RNA, 105 nt
Filed under: Thermoproteota archaeon
Lineage: Archaea; Thermoproteati; Thermoproteota
Description: tRNA-Met
Rfam family: tRNA
About the family: Transfer RNA (tRNA) molecules are approximately 80 nucleotides in length.
Source: RNAcentral
AGCGGGGUGGGGAAGCCAGGUAAUCCCGGCGGGCUCAUAACCCGCAGAGCGGUUUCCAUCUUUGCCGAAAGCAAGUGGCCGUAUGUUCAAAUCAACCCCCCGCUA